ACGAACGCUGGCGGCGUGCCUAAUACAUGCAAGUAGAACGCUGAAGGAGGAGCUUGCUUCUCUGGAUGAGUUGCGAACGGGUGAGUAACGCGUAGGUAACCUGCCUGGUAGCGGGGGAUAACUAUUGGAAACGAUAGCUAAUACCGCAUAAUAGUAGAUGUUGCAUGACAUUUGCUUAAAAGGUGCAAUUGCAUCACUACCAGAUGGACCUGCGUUGUAUUAGCUAGUUGGUGAGGUAACGGCUCACCAAGGCGACGAUACAUAGCCGACCUGAGAGGGUGAUCGGCCACACUGGGACUGAGACACGGCCCAGACUCCUACGGGAGGCAGCAGUAGGGAAUCUUCGGCAAUGGACGGAAGUCUGACCGAGCAACGCCGCGUGAGUGAAGAAGGUUUUCGGAUCGUAAAGCUCUGUUGUAAGAGAAGAACGAGUGUGAGAGUGGAAAGUUCACACUGUGACGGUAGCUUACCAGAAAGGGACGGCUAACUACGUG
Molecule: ribosomal RNA, 494 nt
Filed under: uncultured bacterium
Lineage: Bacteria
Description: partial 16S ribosomal RNA
Rfam family: Bacterial small subunit ribosomal RNA
Source: RNAcentral